GAUGAACGCUGGCGGCGUGCCUAAUACAUGCAAGUCGAGCGAACGGACGAGAAGCUUGCCUCUCUGAUGUUAGCGGCGGACGGGUGAGUAACACGUGGAUAACCUACCUAUAAGACUGGGAUAACUUCGGGAAACCGGAGCUAAUACCGGAUAAUAUUUUGAACCGCAUGGUUCAAAAGUGAAAGACGGUCUUGCUGUCACUUAUAGAUGGAUACGCGCUGCAUUAGCUAGUUGGUAAGGUAACGGCUUACCAAGGCAACGAUGCAUAGCCGACCUGAGAGGGUGAUCGGCCACACUGGAACUGAGACACGGUCCAGACUCCUACGGGAGGCAGCAGUAGGGAAUCUUCCGCAAUGGGCGAAAGCCUGACGGAGCAACGCCGCGUGAGUGAUGAAGGUCUUCGGAUCGUAAAACUCUGUUAUUAGGGAAGAACAUAUGUGUAAGUAACUGUGCACAUCUUGACGGUACCUAAUCAGAAAGCCACGGCUAACUACGUG
RNAcentral lists this ribosomal RNA (497 nucleotides) under uncultured bacterium. Its description in RNAcentral is "partial 16S ribosomal RNA". It matches the Rfam family "Bacterial small subunit ribosomal RNA", at positions 28 to 507 of the family's 1533-position model. The record is from RNAcentral.